This 582-nucleotide ribosomal RNA is filed under the name Pseudomonas sp. StFRB178. Its description in RNAcentral is "bacterial SSU rRNA". It matches the Rfam family "Bacterial small subunit ribosomal RNA", at positions 102 to 680 of the family's 1533-position model. Lineage: Bacteria; Pseudomonadati; Pseudomonadota; Gammaproteobacteria; Pseudomonadales; Pseudomonadaceae. The record is from RNAcentral.
ACGGGUGAGUAAUGCCUAGGAAUCUGCCUGGUAGUGGGGGACAACGUUUCGAAAGGAACGCUAAUACCGCAUACGUCCUACGGGAGAAAGCAGGGGACCUUCGGGCCUUGCGCUAUCAGAUGAGCCUAGGUCGGAUUAGCUAGUUGGUGAGGUAAUGGCUCACCAAGGCGACGAUCCGUAACUGGUCUGAGAGGAUGAUCAGUCACACUGGAACUGAGACACGGUCCAGACUCCUACGGGAGGCAGCAGUGGGGAAUAUUGGACAAUGGGCGAAAGCCUGAUCCAGCCAUGCCGCGUGUGUGAAGAAGGUCUUCGGAUUGUAAAGCACUUUAAGUUGGGAGGAAGGGCAGUAACUUAAUACGUUGCUGUUUUGACGUUACCGACAGAAUAAGCACCGGCUAACUCUGUGCCAGCAGCCGCGGUAAUACAGAGGGUGCAAGCGUUAAUCGGAAUUACUGGGCGUAAAGCGCGCGUAGGUGGUUCGUUAAGUUGGAUGUGAAAUCCCCGGGCUCAACCUGGGAACUGCAUUCAAAACUGUCGAGCUAGAGUAUGGUAGAGGGUGGUGGAAUUUCCUGUGUAGCG